CUGCCUCGGAGUGGGGAAUAACAGUUGGAAACAGCUGCUAAUACCGCAUGAUGCAGUUGGGCCGCAUGGCCCUGACUGCCAAAGAUUUAUCGCUCUGAGAUGGCCUCGCGUCUGAUUAGCUGGUUGGCGGGGUAACGGCCCACCAAGGCGACGAUCAGUAGCCGGACUGAGAGGUUGGCCGGCCACAUUGGGACUGAGACACGGCCCAGACUCCUACGGGAGGCAGCAGUGGGGGAUAUUGCACAAUGGGGGAAACCCUGAUGCAGCAACGCCGCGUGAAGGAAGAAGGUCUUCGGAUUGUAAACUUUUGUCCUCAGUGAAGAUAAUGACGGUAGCUGAGGAGGAAGCUCCGGCUAACUACGUGCCAGCAGCCGCGGUAAUACGUAGGGAGCGAGCGUUGUCCGGAAUUACUGGGUGUAAAGGGAGCGCAGGCGGGUAUGCAAGUUGGGAGUGAAAUACAUGGGCUCAACCCAUGAACUGCUCUCAAAACUGUGUAUCUUGAGUAGUGCAGAGGUAGGCGGAAUUCCCGGUGUAGCGGUGGAAUGCGUAGAUAUCGGGAGGAACACCAGUGGCGAAGGCGGCCUACUGGGCACCAACUGACGCUGAGGCUCGAAAGUGUGGGUAGCAAACAGGAUUAGAUACCCUGGUAGUCCACACCGUAAACGAUGAUUACUAGGUGUUGGAGGAUAGACCCCUUCAGUGCCGCAGU
RNAcentral lists this ribosomal RNA (709 nucleotides) under uncultured bacterium. RNAcentral's name for it is "bacterial SSU rRNA". It matches the Rfam family "Bacterial small subunit ribosomal RNA", at positions 126 to 852 of the family's 1533-position model. The record is from RNAcentral.